Molecule: ribosomal RNA, 481 nt
Filed under: OMG group bacterium enrichment culture clone PSHTC-024
Lineage: Bacteria; Pseudomonadati; Pseudomonadota; Gammaproteobacteria
Description: bacterial SSU rRNA
Rfam family: Bacterial small subunit ribosomal RNA
Source: RNAcentral
AUGCAGUCGAACGGUAACAGAACUAGCUUGCUAGUUGCUGACGAGUGGCGGACGGGUGAGUAACGCGUAGGAAUCUACCGAGUAGUGGGGGACAACAGUUGGAAACGACUGCUAAUACCGCAUAAUCCCUGAGGGGGAAAGGAGGGGAUCUGUUUACAGACCUUUCGCUAUUUGAUGAGCCUGCGUGAGAUUAGCUAGUUGGUGAGGUAAUGGCUCACCAAGGCGACGAUCUCUAGCUGGUCUGAGAGGAUGAUCAGCCACACUGGAACUGAGACACGGUCCAGACUCCUACGGGAGGCAGCAGUGGGGAAUAUUGCACAAUGGGGGAAACCCUGAUGCAGCCAUGCCGCGUGUGUGAAGAAGGCCUUCGGGUUGUAAAGCACUUUCAGCGAGGAGGAAAGGAGUAUGUUUAAUAAACGUGCUCUGUGACGUUACUCGCAGAAGAAGCACCGGCUAACUCCGUGCCAGCCGCCGGGGGCAA